Molecule: ribosomal RNA, 292 nt
Filed under: uncultured bacterium
Lineage: Bacteria
Description: partial 16S ribosomal RNA
Source: RNAcentral
GGACUACCGGGGUAUCUAAUCCUGUUUGAUCCCCACGCUUUCGCACCUCAGCGUCAGUUGUGUGCCAGAUGGCCGCCUUCGCCACCGGUGUUCCUCCUAAUAUCUACGAAUUUCACCUCUACAUUAGGAAUUCCGCCAUCCCCUCACACACUCCAGCCGCACAGUUUCAAAGGCAGUUCCGGGGUUAAGCCCCGGGAUUUCACCCCUGACGAGUACGGCCGCCUACGCGCGCUUUACGCCCAGUAAUUCCGAACAACGCUAGCACCCUUCGUAUUACCGCGGCUGCUGGCAC